This is a long non-coding RNA of Nicotiana tabacum (common tobacco), 522 nucleotides long. RefSeq lists it as uncharacterized. NCBI's taxonomy places the organism in Eukaryota, Viridiplantae, Streptophyta, Magnoliopsida, Solanales, Solanaceae. The record is from RefSeq and is a predicted model, not a curated record.
UGAAAGUAAACUAAAGCUGUUCCAACAUUGUGAUUGUUAGUAUAAGGGAUUUGGUUAGGUUUGGUUAAUCUAGCCUAAGUGAAAUUAUGAGACCAGGAGGACCGGGGACAGGGCCAGGACCAGGACCCGGAUCGGGGCCUGGAUGGGGUCCUCCUCUAGGUCUCGGAGGACCCCCAAUGCCAGGACCUUGCGGCUUCUUUGGUGGUUUAUGUGAUUUUAUAGGUUCUUGCCUGAGCUUCUUCUGCUGUUGCUGGUUACUGCAAGACUGUUUUAGGGGCCCAAUGGGCUUUUACGGGCCUCCAGGAUCUUUUGGGCCGCCUCUGCCAUGAUCCACUGGGUUGAUCCAAUAAGGAAUUAUAGAAAUACAUGGCACAUUAUGGGAUGAAGGAUGCAUUUGUUGAUAUUCAUAAAACUACAAAUAUGAUUGUUUGCAAAAUAUACCUAUCCUAUAUCUUUUGUAAUUGGAUUGAGAGCUUGUUUCAAUUUAUAAUAUCAUGAUUGUUAAUUAGAAAAAUGUCCCUA